RNAcentral lists this ribosomal RNA (467 nucleotides) under uncultured bacterium. RNAcentral's name for it is "partial 16S ribosomal RNA". It matches the Rfam family "Bacterial small subunit ribosomal RNA", at positions 29 to 507 of the family's 1533-position model. The record is from RNAcentral.
ACGAACGCUGGCGGCGUGCUUAACACAUGCAAGUCGAACGGAAAGGCCCUGCUUUUGUGGGGUGCCCGAGUGGCGAACGGGUGAGUAACACGUGAGUAACCUGCCCUUGACUUUGGGAUAACUUCAGGAAACUGGGGCUAAUACCGGAUAGGAGCUCCUGCUGCAUGGUGGGGGUUGGAAAGUUUCGGCGGUUGGGGAUGGACUCGCGGCUUAUCAGCUUGUUGGUGGGGUAGUGGCUUACCAAGGCUUUGACGGGUAGCCGGCCUGAGAGGGUGACCGGCCACAUUGGGACUGAGAUACAGCCCAGACUCCUACGGGAGGCAGCAGUGGGGAAUAUUGCACAAUGGGCGGAAGCCUGAUGCAGCAACGCCGCGUGCGGGAUGACGGCCUUCGGGUUGUAAACCGCUUUCGCCUGUGACGAAGCGUGAGUGACGGUAAUGGGUAAAGAAGCACCGGCUAACUACGUG